Carassius auratus (goldfish) is the source of this 927-nucleotide long non-coding RNA. RefSeq lists it as uncharacterized. The transcript is spliced from 3 exons. NCBI's taxonomy places the organism in Eukaryota, Metazoa, Chordata, Actinopteri, Cypriniformes, Cyprinidae. The record is from RefSeq and is a predicted model, not a curated record.
UGUAAGCAAGCUAGCGGCAAACACGAAAGUUGAGCAUAUGCUCAAUGGAUGUCUCUUCUUGCAAGGGAUUUGAACAUGAGAUUAAGGAGUAUUCAAAACAAUUUUUUUCCUUGCAUGCAGCUAAAGAGGUCUGGGCAAUCCUGCAGGGUCAGAACUGAAGCCGCGCUGUCAGCAUUUCCUCCAGUCAGAAGGAUGACCACAGGUUCUGGCAGAGGAGUAAGGCCACUUGAAGAAGAUUGAGUCGGGUUCCUGUCUAACACAUCAAUAAGAGCGCUUGCUGCUGAUUCCACUUUUGAUGAUAGAGCCUGUCAAACAAACAUUUUACCUUAAAAACCUUGCAUGAAUUAAUGUUAAAUCAACAAUACUAUGCAUUCUGAUAUAUUAUUGGCCUGUAGUCACUUAGAUAUAAGUUAUGCUUUCUUUACUUUAAAAACUGUUUGCCAUUAUUGCAGCUUCCUGUUGUUAGCCAUUCAGUCUAAUGUAAAAAAAGAAUACAUUUCUAAUAUAUAUUACUUUGAAUAAAUAAAAGAUAAAACAAAACUGCUUGCUAAAUUAAUUAUAUAUUAAAUUGAGGUAAAACAACAACAAACUGUCAGAGACUGAAAAUACAGAACUGAAAAGUACAUUGAUUCUUGGAUCAGACAUGAAAUAUGAUCAGUUUACUCAUGUGUCAGCUGGUGUAACAAUCGGUCCACUGGAGGUGAGUUAAAGAAUGCAAAUGGAUUUUUAUUUCACAAGUAAUCCAAAAUGGAAACAUGAUUCAAACAGAGGCUUGACUUUGAAAUUCGUAGCAGUGAAUGAAGAUGUAUCAUAUCGAUCACAAGUGCAGUAUGGAGUACCUCAAGGCUCAGUACUAGGGCCGCUACUCUUCCAUGCUCUAUACAAACUAAUAUAUUCCAUUAUCAUUAAUAUAUUGCUGUCUAUGAA